UACAGAGGUCUCAAGCGUUGUUCGGAUUCAUUGGGCGUAAAGGGCGCGUAGGCUGCGGGGCAAGUCGGGUGUGAAAUCUCAGAGCUUAACUCCGAAACUGCAUUCGAUACUGCCGUGCUUGAGGACUGGAGAGGAGACUGGAAUUUACGGUGUAGCGGUGAAAUGCGUAGAUAUCGUAAGGAAGACCAGUGGCGAAGGCGGGUCUCUGGACAGUUCCUGACGCUGAGGCACGAAGGUCAGGGGAGCAAACGGG
This 253-nucleotide ribosomal RNA is filed under the name uncultured bacterium. RNAcentral describes it as "partial 16S ribosomal RNA". It matches the Rfam family "Bacterial small subunit ribosomal RNA", at positions 524 to 776 of the family's 1533-position model. The record is from RNAcentral.